UGAGUAGGCGGUUAUGUAUGUCAGGUGUAAAAGGCGUAGGCUUAACUUACGUUAGCACUUGAAACUGCAUAACUUGAGUGCAGGAGAGGUAAGUGGAAUUCCUAGUGUAGCGGUGAAAUGCGUAGAUAUUAGGAGGAACACCAGUGGCGAAGGCGACUUACUGGACUGUAACUGACGCUGAGUCACGAAAGCGUGGGUAGCAAACA
RNAcentral lists this ribosomal RNA (206 nucleotides) under uncultured Eubacteriales bacterium. RNAcentral describes it as "uncultured Clostridiales bacterium partial 16S ribosomal RNA". It matches the Rfam family "Bacterial small subunit ribosomal RNA", at positions 568 to 774 of the family's 1533-position model. Lineage: Bacteria; Bacillati; Bacillota; Clostridia; Eubacteriales. The record is from RNAcentral.